Molecule: ribosomal RNA, 514 nt
Filed under: uncultured bacterium
Lineage: Bacteria
Description: bacterial SSU rRNA
Rfam family: Bacterial small subunit ribosomal RNA
Source: RNAcentral
CGCUGGCGGCGUGCCUAAUACAUGCAAGUCGAACGCACUCUCGUUUAGAUUGAAGGAGCUUGCUCCUGAUUGAUAAACAUUUGAGUGAGUGGCGGACGGGUGAGUAACACGUGGGUAACCUGCCCUAAAGUGGGGGAUAACAUUUGGAAACAGAUGCUAAUACCGCAUAAAACCUAACACCGCAUGGUGUAGGGUUGAAAGAUGGUUUCGGCUAUCACUUUGGGAUGGACCCGCGGUGCAUUAGUUAGUUGGUGAGGUAAAGGCUCACCAAGACCGUGAUGCAUAGCCGACCUAAGAGGGUAAUCGGCCACACUGGGACUGAGACACGGCCCAGACUCCUACGGGAGGCAGCAGUAGGGAAUCUUCCACAAUGGACGAAAGUCUGAUGGAGCAACGCCGCGUGAGUGAAGAAGGUUUUCGGAUCGUAAAACUCUGUUGUUGGAGAAGAAUGUAUCUGAUAGUAACUGAUCAGGUAGUGACGGUAUCCAACCAGAAAGCCACGGCUAACUACGUG